Molecule: small nuclear RNA, 110 nt
Organism: Rhinolophus ferrumequinum (greater horseshoe bat)
Lineage: Eukaryota; Metazoa; Chordata; Mammalia; Chiroptera; Rhinolophidae
Source: Ensembl
GUGCUCACUUUGGCAGGAGAUACUAAAACUGAAAUUGAAAUGAUAAGGAGAAGACUAGCAUGGCCCCUGAGAAAGAUAACAUGUUAAUUCACGAAGUAGUCCAUAUUUUA